UGAUAGAGGCGCGGGCUUCAUCAGUACCGGAAAUAUCAGGCUGGACCGCCGUUUCCGGGAAAGGGGAGACUGCCGAAGGAUGUUCUGCCGGUCCGGGCAGGAUGUUCUGGGAUACCGCAGAAGAUGCGGUGUACUGUCACGAAAUGUGGAGCGCUAUCUGU
RNAcentral lists this non-coding RNA (161 nucleotides) under human gut metagenome. RNAcentral describes it as "Lysine riboswitch". It matches the Rfam family "Lysine riboswitch aptamer". Rfam says of the family: Riboswitches are metabolite binding domains within certain messenger RNAs that serve as precision sensors for their corresponding targets. Allosteric rearrangement of mRNA structure is mediated by ligand binding, and this results in modulation of gene expression. This family includes riboswitches that sense lysine in a number of genes involved in lysine metabolism, including lysC. The record is from RNAcentral.